This 483-nucleotide ribosomal RNA is filed under the name uncultured bacterium. RNAcentral describes it as "partial 16S ribosomal RNA". It matches the Rfam family "Bacterial small subunit ribosomal RNA", at positions 30 to 507 of the family's 1533-position model. The record is from RNAcentral.
UUGAACGCUGGCGGCAGGCCUAACACCUGCAAGUCGAGCGGAUGAAGGGAGCUUGCUCCUGGAUUCAGCGGCGGACGGGUGAGUAAUGCCUAGGAAUCUGCCUGGUAGUGGGGGAUAACGUCCGGAAACGGGCGCUAAUACCGCAUACGUCCUGAGGGAGAAAGUGGGGGAUCUUCGGACCUCACGCUAUCAGAUGAGCCUAGGUCGGAUUAGCUAGUUGGUGGGGUAAAGGCCUACCAAGGCGACGAUCCGUAACUGGUCUGAGAGGAUGACCAGUCACACUGGAACUGAGACACGGUCCAGACUCCUACGGGAGGCAGCAGUGGGGAAUAUUGGACAAUGGGCGAAAGCCUGAUCCAGCCAUGCCGCGUGUGUGAAGAAGGUCUUCGGAUUGUAAAGCACUUUAAGUUGGGAGGAAGGGCAGUAAGUUAAUACCUUGCUGUUUUGACGUUACCAACAGAAUAAGCACCGGCUAACUUCGUG